Pelobates cultripes (western spadefoot toad) is the source of this 721-nucleotide non-coding RNA. Lineage: Eukaryota; Metazoa; Chordata; Amphibia; Anura; Pelobatidae. The record is from the annotation of a GenBank genome assembly.
CUGGCACAAGAUAUGUAUUAUAUAUAAAAACAGAAUCCCAUAGAAUAGUCGCUUACCCUUUAGAGGUACUUUAUCUUUUGGGCUUGGAGCUUUACAACAGCAUGUAUAGGUCACACAUAGACGGUUUUCAAGUUGGCUAAUACACAGAAUUUAUAUUUGUCACAUAUUUGGUAGAGAAGUAAAGAUUCCAAUCUCUGUUUGCUGGUUUGUGCGAAAAGCAUAGGUGCCAGUAAAUCAAUGCCACAUAUCUUAAUCCAACUGCACUUAUAGUAACAUUCUGGUUAGGUCUUGGACACAGGUGUAGACUUUAGUUACCCGGAAAAUGCUCUCUCUCACUGGAGACAGUCUCUCCUCUGUCUUUAGGGCUAAGAUAUUCAGGCAGACUUCCAUGAAGCCCUGUUCUCAGAACUGUGGUAUGCAAACAAACCACAAAGUAUAGCCAGUAUCCCUUGUAUUGGUCUCUCGAAUAUACAAACAGACUUCCCACACAGUAAUUAGCGAUGGUAUUCUUUCCUGUUCUCAGGAAUGUGGUUUACAGGAAGACUUCUGUUCCAUUAUCUACUCUCUUAUUUAGCUCCUAAAUUCCCUGAACAUAGACCUGCUCUCUAGUGCAUGUGAGACUUUGUUGUCGCACUGGUGUGAGGCAUCCUCACUUACCAAUUGACUCGUUUUACAACCUAGUCGUAGGAAUGGAACUCUGUCAGUAAGUGACAAGUGCCAG